UUGGAGGGCAAGUCUGGUGCCAGCAGCCGCGGUAAUUCCAGCUCCAAUAGCGUAUAUUAAAGUUGUUGCAGUUAAAAAGCUCGUAGUUGAACUUCGGGAUCAAUGUUUCGGUCAUGCCGUUGGUAUGUACUGAUAUUAUUGAUUUCUCACCUUCUAAGGAACCGUAAUGCCAUUAAUUUGGUGUCACGGGGAAUUAGGACUGUUACCUUGAAAAAAUUAGAGUGUUUAAAGCAGGCUCACGCUUGAAUACAUUAGCAUGGAAUAAUGAAAUAGGACAUCCGAUUCUAUUUUGUUGGUUUCUAGGAUCGAUGUAAUGAUUAAUAGGGAUAGUUGGGGGCAUUAGUAUUCAAUUGUCAGAGGUGAAAUUCUUGGAUUUAUUGAAGACUAACUACUGCGAAAGCAUUUGCCAAGGAUGUUUUCAUUAAUCAAGAACGAAAGUUAGGGGAUCGAAGACGAUCAGAUACCGUCGUAGUCUUAACCAUAAACUAUGCCGACUAGGGAUCGGAUGAUGUUAAUUUUUUAAUGACUCAUUCGGCGCCUUACGGGAAACCAAAGUGUUUGGGUUC
RNAcentral lists this ribosomal RNA (566 nucleotides) under Glomeromycotina sp. RFLP13 YL-2011. RNAcentral's name for it is "SSU rRNA". It matches the Rfam family "Eukaryotic small subunit ribosomal RNA", at positions 548 to 1114 of the family's 1831-position model. Lineage: Eukaryota; Fungi; Glomeromycota. The record is from RNAcentral.